RNAcentral lists this ribosomal RNA (444 nucleotides) under uncultured bacterium. RNAcentral describes it as "bacterial SSU rRNA". It matches the Rfam family "Bacterial small subunit ribosomal RNA", at positions 354 to 796 of the family's 1533-position model. The record is from RNAcentral.
GUGAGGAAUAUUGGUCAAUGGGCGGAAGCCUGAACCAGCCAAGUCGCGUGAAGGACGAAGGUAUUAUGUAUUGUAAACUUCUUUAGCAGUGGAGAAAUAAGGGAGUCGUGACUCCCGAUGCUAGUACACUGAGAAUAAGGAUCGGCUAACUCCGUGCCAGCAGCCGCGGUAAUACGGAGGAUCCGAGCGUUAUCCGGAUUUAUUGGGUUUAAAGGGUGCGCAGGCGGCCUUGCAAGUCAGCGGUCAAAUCGUGGAGCUCAACUCCAUUCCGCCGUUGAUACUGCCGGGCUUGAUUGCGGUUGAGGUUGGCGGAAUUCGUCGUGUAGCGGUGAAAUGCAUAGAUAUGACGAAGAACCCCGAUUGCGUAGGCAGCUGACCAAUCCGUAAAUGACGCUCAUGCACGAAAGUGCGGGGAUCGAACAGGAUUAGAAACCCUAGUAGUCC